RNAcentral lists this ribosomal RNA (119 nucleotides) under Phascolarctos cinereus (koala). The record is from RNAcentral. Lineage: Eukaryota; Metazoa; Chordata; Mammalia; Diprotodontia; Phascolarctidae.
AUCUACCGCCACACCACCCUGAACUCACUCAAUCUCUUCUGAUCUCAGAAGCUAAGUAACAUCAGACCUAGUUAGUACUUGGAUAGGAGACCACCUGGGAAUACUGAGUGCUGCAGGUA